CAGUGGCGGAUUCCAACCUCGUGAGCGGCGCGUUGGAGAGCAGGAAGAGGGCUGGGAUGCGGUCGCUCCCAAGCGGCCCCGACUCGGGGCGGGAAACAAGAUCGGAGGGCGAAGGCUCAUUGUGGUGCUGGAAGGGGCCAGUCUGGAGACAGUCAAGGUAGUUUGGGACAAGGAAGUGGAGAAUUAGCAGAUCGAUAGGAUGGGACCCCGGGGCGGGGGGGAGGUGAGGGUGAGAGGCUCAAAGUGGAUGGAGAGGCAGAGAGAGUGAAACAUGCUUUUGGAGGAAGAAUAGCCUAGUUGACUGUCUUUUGGUUAAACACCUGGGUUGGCGUUACUCGUUGUCUUCUGCUCUUCGUGAAUCUCACUGCAGCUGUCACAUCCUGACUUCAAUUGAUUUACCGGGAUUCUGUGGUAAAAAGUUAUCUAAAGGGAGGGAGGGUAGGGAAGGAUAGACAUGUCCAUUGCGUCAUCCCUAGGUGUCUUUUGUCACCUUCCUUUAUAGUACUAUCCACUUUGAAACGCUGGAUCAAUUAUCAUUUAAUACUUUUACAUCCUUAUUUUUACCUGUCAUUCAGCCCUUUUCCCGAAUAUUCCAGCAAUUGUAUAUCUUAAAACUGCAGUGUUCUCACUCUGACUUUCUUGUUUCUCUUACCUUUAGAGCUAAACUUGUCGAAUGAGGAGGCCCAGAAGAAAUAGCACUGGUUUCUAAGUCAGACCUGGGUUUUAAACUUGUUUUUCAUACUUAUUUUAAGUGUGUGAUCUUGAGAAAACAACUUUGUCCUUAGUUUGUAAAGUGGAGGUUAAUACUUUGAAAGUGCUUUAAAAGUAAUAUUUUGAUAGUAAUGUGAUUCUUUUCCAUUUUUACUUCCUCAAUCUUUGUGUUACUUUAUUAAGCUUGCAGUCUAGAAAGUCUUUUUUUUUUUUCCCAUUUUUCUUAGGUAAUUGAUAUUUCCAACUUAAUUACAGGAUCUUAUAUUUAUGUCUCAGUUAAUUGCUUGCCGUCUUCCCAGCCUAUUAAUUCUGAAUCUCCCUUAACCACUUGUUUCUUCAUAUGUCCCAUGGGGAUGAUAGUACGGACCUUAUUGGGUUGAGGGGAUGAAGGGAGGUAAUAUCAGCAAAGGGUUUAGAAUGAUGCCUGUCACUUGGAAUAAAUUAUUGCCAUUGUUAUUGAUUCCAGGUUCCUCAUCAAGAAGUUAAAAAGGUCACGGCCAAAUUAAAAUUCUUAGAGCAUGCUGGUGGAAUGUAGGUCAGAUUGUCAUUAAUGGUACUCCAGGGAUGAUUGAAUUCAUAGCUGGUUGAAAUUUUAUGUACUAUUAUCUUUUGCCUUCCUGGUGCUGGUCCUUCUUGUUCUGCUAGCCUCGUGGAGCCUGCUCUCUCCUAUUUAUUCCUUAGACUCCAGACUUGUUGGCCUUUGUUAAAGUCUUUGAAAGCACUAAGUUCUCUGAUAUUUUAAGGCCGUUGCACAUAAUGUUCUCUAACGGAAGCUUCCUUUACUUAGCUCUUUAUUAAUUCCUGUUUGACAGUUCAUGCAACAAUUACUGAGUAUGAUGCUGUUCAUUUUUCAAUUAUUAGUUAAAAUGUUAUUUCUUCAUAGGAGUGACUCCCUUCUUGGUAUAAAUCAGGCCCUCCUGUUAAUAAUCCUUUAACGAACCAUUUAUUUUUCUUUCAUAAUGUUGAUCACAAUUUGGUUGUGGUUUCAUUUGGUGGUUUACUGUUUGUCUCUUCCACUAGAAGGCUUCCAUGAGGGCAGGGAAUAAAAGGUUCUAAAAAUUCUUAUAGCUCUGAUACCUGUUACAGACAAUGAAUACACAUAGUACUCAUUCUCUGAUUAUUCUAAUUAGUUGUUUUCAAGCUUAUUAACCACAACCCACAAUAAAAAAGUCACAUUGUGAGCCAGUACACACACACACACACACACACACACACACACACACACAAACACAUGCAACUAUCUGAUACCAAAAGCUUCAUAAACUACCACUUACCAUGACUACAUGUAAAGUACUCUUUUCUAUUUUAUUAAAAUAAUAAAACUCCUGGUUAUAACUUCCUAAUGGGUAGAAACUGGAUUGUUCUAUUCAAGAAGUUCUUUUUUUCAAUAACUAAGAGUGUCCCACAGAGUUGGUUCUUUCCCUAUGCUUACUCUCUGACAUUUUUGUUGUUUCAGUUAAUCAGUUUCAAAAUCUACAUGCCUCUUCCCCCAAGCUUUGUGGAGUUAUGUUUCCUUUUUUUUUUUUUUUUAAGUGUUUAUUCCUGACAGAGAGAGUGUGAACAGGGGAGUGGCAGAGAGAGGGAGACACAGAAUCUGAAGCAGGCUCCAGGCCCUGAGCUGUCAGCACAGAGCCGGAAGUGGGGCUCGAACUCACAGACUGUGAGAUCAUGACCUGAGCUGAAGUCGGACGGCUUAACCGACUGAGCCACCCAGGCGCUCCUGGAGUUAUGUUUCUUAAGUUGUUGCCAGACAUACGAAUGUUCUAUUGAUACAUAAAAACACAGCCUCUCAAAUCCUGCAUUUGUAUAUUUAGUGGUGUGGUUUUGGACUUUUUACUGACCACUUUAUUGCUCCUUAGGACCCCAAAUUGCAAUCUGCAAUUCUUUCUUUUAGCUGCUAUAGAUUUUAGCCAGAUCUUUAGUAUCACACAUGUAGUUAGUGUCUCUUCUAGUAUACACUGAGUUACCAGAAUAAUAUUCCUCAUUCACUCAGUGCCCUGUUAUUCCACAAUUAUUUCUGGCUUUGUGCUCGAUACUUGAGGGACCUUGCAGUUUACAAAGCAGUCAUAUUUAAUCACUGUUCUUCAGUGUUUCAGUUCUACUUUUUCCGCAUGCGUUUUCCUUCUUCACAUUUCUGCUUUUCCUUUAUUCCAGCUGUACCUUUGCUCAGACCAGUCUUAACACUGGCACCAACCCUCUUCCGUUUUACUUUUGAAAGUAUUCCUUGCUGAAGUCGCCUCCCGCAUCAUUAGAAUUUUCACACUUUUCUCUCCAUCCUCGCCAACACUUAUUUCUUGUCUUUUUUUGAUACUAGCCAUUCUGGCUGGUGAGGUGAUACCUUGUUGUGCUUUUGAUUUGCAUUUCCCUGAUAAGUGAGGUUGAGCAUCUUUUCAUUUGUCUGUUGGUCAUCUGGGUGUCUUCCUUAGAAAAGUGUCUGUUCAGGUCCUCUGCCCAUUUUUUAAUCAGAUUGUUUUUUUUGGUAUUGCAGAAGUUCUCUGUAUUGGUUAAUUUGGAUAUUAACCCCUUAUCAGAUAUAUCAUUUGCAGAUACCUUCUUUCCCAUUCAGUAGGUUGCCUUUUUGUUUUGUGGAUGGGUUUCCUUUGCUGUGCGGGAGUUUAGAUCACGUGAAAUCACAGGCUGUGUCCUUUUGUCAUCCAAGAUCAUUUACAAGGGUAGGGGAGAAAGGGUCAGUGGCCACACAGUAAACCCCUGAAAGGCUUGCUGGGCCCCAUCCCCCAUUUCUGAUUCAGAAGAUCUGGAGUAGACUGAGAAUUUGACUAACAAGUUUCUAGAUGAUGAUUAUGAUGCUGCUGCUGCUUUGGGGACCACACUUUGAGAACCACUAGUCUAGGUAAAAGAAGCUUAUGUUGCUGUCUGUCAUGUUCCCUGUUCUUUAGGUAGGGAAGACCUAUGAGUUACUCAACUGUGACAAGCACAAGUCUGUGCUGUUGAAGAAUGGACGGGACCCUGGGGAAGUGAGACCAGACAUAGCUCACCAGGUAACUCCAGGGACAGAGCUCACGACCUCAAGCCUUUGUACAGAAGGUCGGGCAGCUGUGUGCUGCUUCUCUUCGCUUGAAACUAUGCCUUGGUUUCUGCGUCCCCCAGAGUUUACUGAUGCUGAUGGACAGUCCCCUGAACCGAGCUGGCUUGCUGCAGGUUUAUAUCCACACACAGAAGAAUGUGCUGAUUGAAGUGAACCCCCAGACUCGAAUUCCCAGAACCUUUGACCGCUUUUGUGGCCUCAUGGGUGAGAUCUCUAGGAGUUAAGGUUCAGAACGAACUUGGCAGUAGUGAAGAAGGGAGGAAGAGGAAAGAGAUAAAUGAAACGUGAGCUUUGUAAAUAGGAGGAGUGGGGUGUAUGUUUGAUACCAGAACAAGGACUCAUCUU
This 4102-nucleotide long non-coding RNA is filed under the name Lynx pardinus (Iberian lynx). The record is from RNAcentral. Lineage: Eukaryota; Metazoa; Chordata; Mammalia; Carnivora; Felidae.